Molecule: transfer RNA, 76 nt
Filed under: Papillibacter cinnamivorans DSM 12816
Lineage: Bacteria; Bacillati; Bacillota; Clostridia; Eubacteriales; Oscillospiraceae
Description: tRNA_Thr_GGT
Rfam family: tRNA
About the family: Transfer RNA (tRNA) molecules are approximately 80 nucleotides in length.
Source: RNAcentral
GCUGCUAUAGCUCAGUCGGCAGAGCGCGUCCUUGGUAAGGACGAGGUCACGUGUUCGAAUCACGUUAGCAGCUCCA